UACGGAGGGGGCUAGCGUUGUUCGGAAUUACUGGGCGUAAAGCGCACGUAGGCGGAUGUUUAAGUCGGGGGUGAAAUCCCGGGGCUCAACCCCGGAAUGGCCUUCGAUACUGGACGUCUGGAGGUCGGGAGAGGCGAGUGGAAUUCCGAGUGUAGAGGUGAAAUUCGUAGAUAUUCGGAGGAACACCAGUGGCGAAGGCGGCUCGCUGGCCCGAUACUGACGCUGAGGUGCGAAAGCGUGGGGAGCAAACAGG
Molecule: ribosomal RNA, 253 nt
Filed under: uncultured bacterium
Lineage: Bacteria
Description: partial 16S ribosomal RNA
Rfam family: Bacterial small subunit ribosomal RNA
Source: RNAcentral